UUACGAUUUAUUUUAAACGAUAAAUUUAUAAACGAAAAUUUAUUUAUUUUUCGUUAACGAUAUAUUUUACGAGACUUUGUUUUAAUUAAACAUUUCUAUUUUUAGUAAUUUCCAAAAAUAGAAACAGAAUUUCUGAAUUUUAGCCAACCAUGUGAAAUUACGAAAAUGCCCUUGGAGCACCAAGAUUCCAUUUCCCUUUCUUCUCUUCCUUGCUCCCCACGUACAAAGUAAGGAGGAAAUUUCCUUCCUUCCUUCUUCCUUCAUUUCAGUCUCCAUUCAAAACAAAAAUCAAGUUUGCUUCUUCCACUUCAAUCCUUUACAAAUUCAACAAUUUCAGAAUUUCCAUUUGCAAAAACAAGAGACCAAUUCCACUUCUUUUUCUCUCUUCUCUGAUUCAAGCAAUCAAUCACCACCAUCACUGAAACCACCGUGACAACCACCGUCCACCACCACCAUUAUCUGCUGCCCAGCACCACCAUCUCAACCACGCACCAACCACCAUCCCCUCCGCCCUCUUCGCUCUCCCCUGUCCCUCUUUGCUCACUCCCCUGCUCUUCCCUCUCACGCACACCUCUGCCUCCCUCUUUCUUCGCCGCUGCCGCACCACCCAGCCACGAAACCACCACACCUAGGCCACCACACCACUUUCUAUACCCACCUCCGCCUCACAAGACCCGGCAGCUGCUGCUGCGCCGCCCAGAAUCGACCGGGAAACACCCCUCCCCUGUUUCUCUCCCCUGUCUCGCCCUGUUCGUGCUCCCCCUUCCUUUCUCUCGCUGUCGCAUCACCCACAACCACCAUCACCGGCGCACUUUCGCGCCUCCGUAUCGCCCAGGCAUCAGCCAUCCAGCCGCCACCUCCCUUCUCUCCGCCCUUCCUCUUCGUCCGUCCCCUGUUCCUUUGUGUUCUGUUUCCCUCAAAGGAAACGAGUUCCAGUAAUUGGAACUUUGUUUUGUUGCUCAAGUUAAGCCCACAUUCCCUUGGCCCAAAUUCCCAAAAAAUCGAACUCGGAGCUCAGGAAUAACGAUCCAUCGAACAGGAAGUAUAAACUACGGUUGAGGUACGAAGAAGAUCAUGGGAUGCCUUAGAGUGAGGAUGCAACCAUCAAAUUCACGAUCGAUGUUUAGUAGAGACAAUUAUGUCAUUAGUAAUAAAGGGAUGUAUUAAUUAAACUCUAAGUUUGAUCUCAUGAUUUGAGUUAGAUUUUAAU
Spinacia oleracea (spinach) is the source of this 1210-nucleotide long non-coding RNA. RefSeq lists it as uncharacterized. Lineage: Eukaryota; Viridiplantae; Streptophyta; Magnoliopsida; Caryophyllales; Amaranthaceae. The transcript has 3 exons. The record is from RefSeq and is a predicted model, not a curated record.